GGUAAAUCCCUUAAAGGAGUAAAUGACAAUCCACUCCAGGAUUCUUGCCUGAAAAAUCUCACAGACAGAAGAGCCUGGUAAACUACAGCCUGUGGGGUCACAAACAGUAGGACAUGAUAGAGCACGCACAUAACUAUUAUGCUCUUCUUGAGUGGGUUGCUGUUAAAAUCACUCGGGCUUCCUAAACAUUGGCCCCAGUGGGGUUUUUUGUUUGUUUUCUCCCUCUUUUUUACCCCAUACACAUUCUCUCCCUUAGUAGGUUUGGAGAAGCCAGGUGGAGCAGGCAGCAGUCCCCCUGACGUGCAGCCUGCAGUGCCUCAAAGGCUGUAUUCCGGGGAAGUGGAGGCACUAGGACUUAGACUCCCACAGUCGCUUCAGCAGUCUGUCUCUGACUGGCAGAACAUGCUUUCACAGCUUUACCUGCAGCUAGAGUGCCCUCCUUGUGGCCCCAUCUUCCUCCUACAUAGACUCCCUGGACCUUCCAUUUUUGGACACUUGCUGCCUCCUGCUUCCUUGGAGAGCCCUGGGCCCCGAGUCGCUCUGUCCAACUACCAGCAGGCUCUUGGGCAGCAGUGUACCUGACUGUUGGUUCUGCCAAACUGACUAGAGGGGCUCUUGGACUCUAGCCUAUAUGCACAGUCCCUCCAGUUCCUUACUAUCUUCAGCUCCCAGCUUCUUCUCACCCCCAGAUUCCUCAAUGCAUCCUUCUGUGUCAUCAUAAUGACCAACAGCCACUUAACAGCUUAUCCUACCUGGCCUCAACUAAGACCCUUACAUUCAUCCUCCCAUUUACUCCCUUUCAUUUAUUCCUCAUGACAACUCCUCUCUCCUGGGUGGGAUUGGGGAGUGGAAAGUUGUCUUAGGUCUUAGUUGUGGCCCUCAGACUCUCCAGCUGUCGUGUGGCUUAGUUGCUCUCAUCAUGUGGGACCUUAGUCCCCCGACCAGGGGUCAAACCUGAAUCCUCUGCACUGCAAGGCAGACUCUCACCCACUGGACCACCAGGGAAGUCCCUGAAUACACUAAAAAGGUUAAAAUCAUACAAACUCUGUUCUCAGACCACACUGGAAUGAAAUUAGCAAUCCAUAACAGAAGGUAAUUUGGGAAAUUCACAAAUAUGUGGACAUUAACACCCUCUUGAAUAACUAAUGGGUCAUAGAAGAAAUCACACGGAAAGUUAGAAACUACUUUGAGAUUAAUGAAAACACAGCAUACCAAAACUUGUGAGAUGGAGCUACAGCAGUGCUUAAAGCAACUCCAGGUCAGCAGGGUUGGUGAACACUGGAUUACAGCCCAGUCAGAAAGGGGCCUUGAGACUUCCCUGGUGGUCCAGUGAUGAAGAAUCCACCUUUCAGUGUGGUUCGAUGCCUGGUCUGGGAACUAAGAUCACACAUGCAACUAAGAUCACACGUUGCAACUACAGAAUCUGCACACUGCAACUAGAGAGAAGCCUGUGCACUACAACGAAGAGCCUGGUGCUGUAAUGAAGACCUCGUGUGCCUUAACUGAGACCCAGUGUGGCCAAAAAAGACAUUUUAAACACUAAAAAUAAAUAAAUGCAAGGAGGGGACUGAGGGGAUUCUCACUAUAUUAUGGUUCAACCACCUGGACUCUCUAGUUUGACUGACACGGGUCUAGAUCAUGAGACUCCCUAGAGGGCUUGGUGCACACACUUCUGUCUCUCUUUGAG
This is a non-coding RNA of Odocoileus virginianus texanus, 1687 nucleotides long. NCBI's taxonomy places the organism in Eukaryota, Metazoa, Chordata, Mammalia, Artiodactyla, Cervidae. The record is from RefSeq and is a predicted model, not a curated record.